This 1385-nucleotide long non-coding RNA is filed under the name Cricetulus griseus (Chinese hamster). RNAcentral describes it as "lncRNA (ENSCGRG00015030316.1)". The record is from RNAcentral. Lineage: Eukaryota; Metazoa; Chordata; Mammalia; Rodentia; Cricetidae.
CUAAACUUUUCUUUUUCAGUUUGUUUGUUGUAGGGGUCUCUGACCAUGCUUGUGAGGGCGUGGUCAGAGUGAAGUAGUGUGACUGCAUUUGCUCUUUCACUUUCACUUUGCUUCUUGCUGUACAGACUGCUACCAUGCCGGCUGGCUAGGUCACUCUCCACAACGAUCAAAAUUGAGAAGGAGACAGCUAAACACUGAACUGAACUCCUGGUACCCAGUUGCAGAGAGUGAGGUGUGAUGAGCAAAGGGGAUACAACCUGGAUAUUGAAACCACAGAAACAGAUGACCAGAAAAAGGGGGAGCUCAUGGACCCCAAACUGAUGGCUGAGAGUCCAGCAUGGGACUGAUACAGAACCCCAUGAAUGUGAAUGUCAGUAAGGAAGCCUCAGCAAUCGAUGGGACCUCAGGUAUUUAUUGCAGACCUAGGAAUUUAGAAUCUAAUAUAGCAGGCACAAGAUCUGCAGGGAAUCUCAACAUACAAAACUGCAAGAACCAAGAAUCAAGUAAUCUGAUGAUACAAGACUUCAAAACUGAGACAGGGACACGGUAUCUUAAACUAGAAGCAGUGUCAUCAGAAGCAGAUUGCUAUUUCCUGCACAGGAUUCAGCAUCAGUGACUGGAAGCUGCCCUGAAGCAAAAAAUCCCUGCCUUUGCUGUUUCCCACAGGCCCUGACUCUUACAGAUGUCAGGAGCAGUCUUCCUUGUCUGUGUAGAGUAAAGUCGGUUCUGAUCCUACCCAGAAUCUACUGAAUCCUGAAGUAUGGCCAGAGCCUGACUGCUAAGAAGCAUCACUUUUGUUGCUUUUGUUAGCACACCUUGCCUCUGAUUGAAGAACUGUGUGCAUUCAAAUGGAACAUGGAAUGGGAAUGAAUAUGUAAAGUGAUCUCAACUCCAGCACUGGAGGCAGAUACUGUGGUUCCCCAGGAGACUGCAUCAGAGCUUCUGAUUCCUUUGUCUCUCCCACCUUAAAGUGUGCUGCAGGAGAAGCAGUGAAAGUGAAAGUAGAUGAAAGAUAAAAAGUGAAAUAUACCAUGGUUUCUGACACCAAUUUUCAAAAGGAAAGAAAGAAACCUGUGGCAAGAAACAGUUGAUCAUAUAUCUGUCUGCUUCACCAAGCAUUUUUGAUAACUCUAUGAAAGCUACAUUUCUCCCUGGAGAUAGUGGAUUGUGUCUCAAGCUGGACAAUAGCUUCUUGUUUCUGACACUUUUUAAUAUGCCAUGUCAGAUUGCCCAAAUGCAAUUUAAAAUUCUUGAAUUUUAGUUUUCUCCUUUAUAUGUAUAUGUAUAUGUAUAUGUGUGCCUGAAAUAACAUGUUUCUAUUUAAGUUGAAAUAUUAGUUUUAAGAAGUACUUUGAAAUUCCUGUAUUUGAUUACUAUAUCUUAAC